UCCCUGGUGGCUCAGAGGUUAAAGCGUCUGCCUCCAAUGCGGGAGACCCGGGUUCAGUCCCUGGGUUGGGAA
Molecule: transfer RNA, 72 nt
Organism: Ovis aries (sheep)
Lineage: Eukaryota; Metazoa; Chordata; Mammalia; Artiodactyla; Bovidae
Rfam family: tRNA
About the family: Transfer RNA (tRNA) molecules are approximately 80 nucleotides in length. Their secondary structure includes four short double-helical elements and three loops (D, anti-codon, and T loops).
Source: Rfam